AACAAGUAUUCAUGAUUAAAAAAUAUAAACAGUGCAGAUAUGUGAGGUAAAAAAGACAGACUCUCCUUUUCCCUUUUAAGUUUUCUAAAUACAAGUAUAUGUAUGAACAAAUUGCACACACACAGCGUUUACCUCAUACUAUACAUAUUGUCCUGUAGUUUGCUUUUUUCCACUCAGCAAUAUACAAUGGCACUGUUUCCAUAGGAGCACAUUUUGUAUUGUGAAAAAUAAGAAAACAUUAAAAAAUGCAAAAAACAUAAAUGUGAAGCUUAAUAAAAUACCCAUUUAAUCACCACACUGGUGAAGAAAUGGAACGUUAUUGGUGCCUGGGAAGUCCUCAGCUUCCUUUUUCCCUCGUCACAACUCCCUCCCUUCUCCCUGGUGGUAACCCCUGUCAUUACUUCUGCGCAUGUACUACCUAAUUGCACUUCCAAAACUAAUGUUUAAUUUAAUUUUGAACUUUAGAUAAAUGGAACCAUGCAGUAUACAUUCUGUGAUCAUUCUGUGAUGAAUGAGUUCUUUCAUUCAACCUUAUGUUUGUAAGAUUCACCCACUUUUUGCGUACAUUUUUAUUGUUGUACAGCCUUCCAUUGUAAGGACACCACCAAAAGUGUUAAUUCUACUGUAGCUUGGUAUAUUGAGUUAUUUCUAAUUUGUGGAUAUUCACAGUGCUGCUGUGACCACAUGUGUCCGUAAGUCCAGAUUCAUACAUAUAUUCACUCCUCAUGCAAGCACUCAUUUCUCUAGAGUGCUAUUGUAGGCUCUAAGGGUUACCGUAGACAUUGCAAAACUGUCUUUAAAGUGAUUGAACCAAUGUACCUUCCCAGCAGCAGUGUGUCAGGAUUCCUAUUACUUUACAUCUCUACCAGCAUUUGGUAUUGUUAGAUUUUUCUUUUUGCCCACUUAGUGAGUGUAUAACAGUAUCUCUUUGUGGUUUUAAUUUUGUGUUUUCCUAUUAACCAGUGAGGUUGAACACUUUUUCAUAUGUUUGGCCAUUUAGUUUCCUCUUUUGUGAAAUGCCUGUUCAGAUAUAGAGUUGUUUAUAUUUUUCUUAGAUUUGUAGGACUUCCAGAGACUAGCCCUUUGUCUAUUUAUGCAUAUUAUAAAUCUCUCCUCCCACCCUGCGGCAUGCCUUUUCACUCUCACAUAGGUCCUUUUUGAUAAAUAGAAAUUCUUAGUAUUAAUGUAACUGGACUUAAAUUUUUUCCAGUGCUUUCUGUGUCCUGCUAUAGGUUACUCUGAAGUCACGAAGGUUAUUCCUCUAUAUUAUUUCUCAGAAACUUCGUUCUUUAGCUUUCCAAAUUUAGGUCUUUGAUCUUCCUGACAUUGACUUUUGUGUAUAU
Long non-coding RNA from Phyllostomus discolor (pale spear-nosed bat), 1343 nucleotides. RefSeq lists it as uncharacterized. The record is from RefSeq and is a predicted model, not a curated record. NCBI's taxonomy places the organism in Eukaryota, Metazoa, Chordata, Mammalia, Chiroptera, Phyllostomidae. The transcript is spliced from 2 exons.